AGAAUGAACGUUGGCGGCGUGGAUUAGGCAUGCAAGUCGUACGGGCCGCAAGGCCAGUGGCGCAAGGGUGAGUAAGGCGACGGUAACCAACCCCAUGACUGGGUAUAGCCGCGGGAAACUGCGGGUAAUCCCCAGCGACGUCGCGGGGGGCAUCCCCCCGCGACCAAAGCCCCGGCGUCGUGGGACGGGCCGUCGUGGUAUUAGGUAGUUGGCGGGGUAACGGCCCACCAAGCCGGCGAUGCCUACCGGGCGUGCGAGCGCGACCCGGCACACUGGGACUGAGACACUGCCCAGACUCCUACGGGAGGCUGCAGUCGAGAAUCUUCGGCAAUGGGCGCAAGCCUGACCGAGCGACGCCGCGUGGAGGACGAAGGCCUUCGGGUUGUAAACUCCUGUCGAGGGGGAAGAAGCCGGGUGACCGGUUGACUGAUCCCUGGAGGAAGCACGGGCUAAGUUCGUGCCAGCAGCCGC
This 471-nucleotide ribosomal RNA is filed under the name uncultured bacterium. RNAcentral's name for it is "SSU rRNA". It matches the Rfam family "Bacterial small subunit ribosomal RNA", at positions 26 to 518 of the family's 1533-position model. The record is from RNAcentral.